Molecule: long non-coding RNA, 234 nt
Organism: Periophthalmus magnuspinnatus
Lineage: Eukaryota; Metazoa; Chordata; Actinopteri; Gobiiformes; Gobiidae
Exons: 3
Source: RefSeq, a predicted model, not a curated record
ACAAAGACGUGGAUCUGUUCAAAUGUGAAGUGUCUCAUGGAGUGAACAAGAAGAUCUUCUCUCUCAGAUCCAACAAACCAGAGGAAGCUCAAACUACAGCCUCUCCACAGAACAAGAGCACAUAUGGAGGUAAAGGAAACACUACGUCUGACCUGACACAGGACAGAGUGUGGGUUGGCUGUGGGCUGUGGUGGUGGUUGUAGCUGCAGUACUUCUCACUGUGGUGGUUCUGGU